Molecule: ribosomal RNA, 491 nt
Filed under: uncultured bacterium
Lineage: Bacteria
Description: partial 16S ribosomal RNA
Rfam family: Bacterial small subunit ribosomal RNA
Source: RNAcentral
AGUGAACGCUGGCGGUAGGCCUAACACAUGCAAGUCGAACGGCAGCACAGUAAGAGCUUGCUCUUACGGGUGGCGAGUGGCGGACGGGUGAGGAAUACAUCGGAAUCUACUUUUUCGUGGGGGAGAACGUAGGGAAACUUACGCUAAUACUGCAUACGACCUACGGGUGAAAGCAGGGGAUCUUCGGACCUUGCGCGAUUGAAUGAGCCGAUGUCGGAUUAGCUAGUUGGCGGGGUAAAGGCCCACCAAGGCGACGAUCCGUAGCUGGUCUGAGAGGAUGAUCAGCCACACUGGAACUGAGACACGGUCCAGACUCCUACGGGAGGCAGCAGUGGGGAAUAUUGGACAAUGGGCGCAAGCGUGUUCCAGCCAUACCGCGUGGGUGAAGAAGGCCUUCGGGUUGUAAAGCCCUUUUGUUGGGAAAGAAAAGCAGCAGGUUAAUACCCCGCUGUUCUGACGGUACCCAAAGAAUAAGCACCGGCUAACUUCGU